This is a long non-coding RNA of Tachysurus fulvidraco (yellow catfish), 731 nucleotides long. RefSeq lists it as uncharacterized. NCBI's taxonomy places the organism in Eukaryota, Metazoa, Chordata, Actinopteri, Siluriformes, Bagridae. The transcript is spliced from 3 exons. The record is from RefSeq and is a predicted model, not a curated record.
GUGUGUGUAUCUGCUCUGUGCAGCUGUCAGGAAUUAAUGCUGUACGACAGCCGAGUGUUUCCUCUCUCUGACAUCAGUGUGUGAUGUGGUCGACUCUCAUCAGAGACAGGAGGCGGAGCUCUGUUCAUCAGUCACACACCUCAGAGACAGGAGGCGGAGCUCUGUUCAUCAGUCACACACCACAGAGACAGGAGGCGGAGCUCUGUUUAUCAGCUCUGACGUUAUUUUGAUAUAUAUGGAGAAAGUGAAAGAUGCCUCAUCUGAUUUGUUAUUGAGGCUGUGUGAUGAUUUCCUCUCAUCUUUCUAAUAAGGGGGCUGAAUGAGGGGAUACACUUCUCUCAGUCUCUCUGGGCGAGUGGACGUGAACACAUCGUGUACAGCGAGGAGGGAGAUGGAAAUCUGUCUGACUUUAAUUCUUCUCUCAUCCACACUCACACUCACAGCAGCUGACAGUGUGAGGUUGGUGAAUGGUGGAAGUCGCUGUGCUGGGAGAGUGGAGGUUCUUCAUAAUGAUCAGUGGGGAACAGUGUGUAGUUAUGGCUGGGAUAUGAGAGAAGCAGCAGUGGUGUGUAGAGAGCUGCACUGUGGGGAGCCUGUAAAUGUCCGGUAUUUAGCUCACUUUGGACAAGGAUCAGGACCAGUUUGGAUGGAAGAUGUUUGCUGUAGAGGAUCAGAGUCGACACUGAAGGACUGUGGGUCACUUGGGUGGGGAAAAAGUAACUGUGAUCAUG